UACGUAGGGUGCAAGCGUUAAUCGGAAUUACUGGGCGUAAAGUGUGCGCAGGCGGCCGCGCAAGUCGAGUGUGAAAGCCCCGGGCUUAACUUGGGAAUUGCGCUCGAAACUACGUGGCUGGAGUGUGGCAGAGGAAGGUGGAAUUCCAGGUGUAGCGGUGAAAUGCGUAGAGAUCCGGAGGAACACCGACGGCGCAGGCAGCGUCCUGGCCGCUUGCUGACACUGAGGCACGAAAGCUGGGGGAGCAAACAGG
This 253-nucleotide ribosomal RNA is filed under the name uncultured bacterium. Its description in RNAcentral is "partial 16S ribosomal RNA". It matches the Rfam family "Bacterial small subunit ribosomal RNA", at positions 524 to 776 of the family's 1533-position model. The record is from RNAcentral.